AACGAACGCUGGCGGCAUGCCUAACACAUGCAAGUCGAACGAUGCUUUCGGGCAUAGUGGCGCACGGGUGCGUAACGCGUGGGAAUCUGCCCUUGGGUUCGGAAUAACAGUGAGAAAUUGCUGCUAAUACCGGAUGAUGUCUUCGGACCAAAGAUUUAUCGCCCAGGGAUGAGCCCGCGUAGGAUUAGCUAGUUGGUGGGGUAAUGGCCUACCAAGGCGAAGAUCCUUAGCUGGUCUGAGAGGAUGAUCAGCCACACUGGGACUGAGACACGGCCCAGACUCCUACGGGAGGCAGCAGUGGAGAAUAUUGGAAAAUGGGCGCAAGCCUGAUCCAGCAAUGCCGCGUGAGUGAUGAAGGCCUUAGGGUUGUAAAGCUCUUUUACCCGGGAUGAUAAUGACAGUACCGGGAGAAUAAGCACCGGCUAACUCCGUG
RNAcentral lists this ribosomal RNA (433 nucleotides) under uncultured bacterium. RNAcentral's name for it is "partial 16S ribosomal RNA". It matches the Rfam family "Bacterial small subunit ribosomal RNA", at positions 29 to 507 of the family's 1533-position model. The record is from RNAcentral.